Molecule: ribosomal RNA, 253 nt
Filed under: uncultured bacterium
Lineage: Bacteria
Description: partial 16S ribosomal RNA
Rfam family: Bacterial small subunit ribosomal RNA
Source: RNAcentral
UACGAGGGGUGCAAGCGUUGCUCGGAAUUAUUGGGCGUAAAGGGUAGGUAGGUGGUCUCAUUUGUCCGGGGUGAAAGCCUUGAGCUUAACUCAAGAAGUGCCUCGGAAACGGUGAGACUAGAGUCUUGGAGAGGGUCGUGGAAUUCCCGGUGUAGCGGUGAAAUGCGUAGAUAUCAGGAGGAACACCUGUGGCGAAAGCGGCUCACUGGACCAUAACUGACGCUGAUGCACGAAAGCUAGGGGAGCAAACAGG